AGCUCCACGAGCAUGUACGUAAGUUGUUGCAGUUAAAAAGCUCGUAGUUGGAUCUCAGAUUGUGACCGAGUGGUCUGCUCGAUACGAGUAUGCACUGCCGAGUCCGGUCUUCAACUGGUCCAACUCUGCAGUGCCCUUAAUUGGGUGCUGUAGAUUGCCAGAAAUUUUACUCUGAAAAAAUUAGAGUGCUCAAAGCAAGCCGAUUGUGCUUGAAUACUGUUGCAUGGAAUAAUGGAAUAGGACCUCGGUUCUAUUUUGUUGGUUUUCGGAGUCGAGGUAAUGAUUAAGAGGGACAGACGGGGGCAUUCGUAUUGCGCCGUUAGAGGUGAAAUUCUUGGAUCGGCGCAAGACGAACAACUGCGAAAGCAUUUGCCAAGGAUGUUUUCAUUAAUCAAGAACG
Molecule: ribosomal RNA, 400 nt
Filed under: phytoplankton environmental sample
Lineage: Eukaryota
Description: partial small subunit ribosomal RNA
Rfam family: Eukaryotic small subunit ribosomal RNA
Source: RNAcentral